RNAcentral lists this ribosomal RNA (426 nucleotides) under uncultured Aquabacterium sp. RNAcentral describes it as "bacterial SSU rRNA". It matches the Rfam family "Bacterial small subunit ribosomal RNA", at positions 356 to 774 of the family's 1533-position model. Lineage: Bacteria; Pseudomonadati; Pseudomonadota; Betaproteobacteria; Burkholderiales; Sphaerotilaceae. The record is from RNAcentral.
GGGGAAUUUUGGACAAUGGGCGCAAGCCUGAUCCAGCAAUGCCGCGUGCAGGAAGAAGGCCUUCGGGUUGUAAACUGCUUUUGUCAGGGAAGAAAUCUUCUGGGUUAAUACCUCGGGAGGAUGACGGUACCUGAAGAAUAAGCACCGGCUAACUACGUGCCAGCAGCCGCGGUAAUACGUAGGGUGCGAGCGUUAAUCGGAAUUACUGGGCGUAAAGCGUGCGCAGGCGGCUUUGCAAGACAGAGGUGAAAUCCCCGGGCUCAACCUGGGAACUGCCUUUGUGACUGCAAGGCUAGAGUACGGCAGAGGGGGAUGGAAUUCCGCGUGUAGCAGUGAAAUGCGUAGAUAUGCGGAGGAACACCAGUGGCGAAGGCGACUUUCUGGUCUGCAACUGACGCUGAGGCGCGAAAGCAUGGGGAGCAAACA